This is a non-coding RNA of Lentinus tigrinus ALCF2SS1-7, 80 nucleotides long. The record is from the annotation of a GenBank genome assembly. NCBI's taxonomy places the organism in Eukaryota, Fungi, Basidiomycota, Agaricomycetes, Polyporales, Polyporaceae.
GGCGCUAUAGUGUAGUGGUUAUCACUUGGGAUUCUGAGAAGGAUAUUCCCAAAACCCAGGUUCGAGCCCUGGUAGCGCCU